AUGGGGAGAAGACCCGGUCUGAUAUAUGAAGAGGGCAUUCUGCACCGA
Molecule: small nucleolar RNA, 48 nt
Filed under: Pyrobaculum islandicum DSM 4184
Lineage: Archaea; Thermoproteati; Thermoproteota; Thermoprotei; Thermoproteales; Thermoproteaceae
Description: PISsR101
Source: RNAcentral